UUUAUGGAGAGUUUGAUCCUGGCUCAGAGUGAACGCUGGCGGCGUGCCUAAUACAUGCAAGUCGAACGAUGAAGCUUCUAGCUUGCUAGAAUGCUGAUUAGUGGCGCACGGGUGAGUAACGCAUAGGUCAUGUGCCUCUUAGUUUGGGAUAGCCAUUGGAAACGAUGAUUAAUACCAGAUACUCCCUACGGGGGAAAGAUUUAUCGCUAAGAGAUCAGCCUAUGUCCUAUCAGCUUGUUGGUAAGGUAAUGGCUUACCAAGGCUAUGACGGGUAUCCGGCCUGAGAGGGUGAACGGACACACUGGAACUGAGACACGGUCCAGACUCCUACGGGAGGCAGCAGUAGGGAAUAUUGCUCAAUGGGGGAAACCCUGAAGCAGCAACGCCGCGUGGAGGAUGAAGGUUUUAGGAUUGUAAACUCCUUUUGUUAGAGAAGAUAAUGACGGUAUCUAACGAAUAAGCACCGGCUAACUCCGUGCCAGCAGCCGCGGUAAUACGGAGGGUGCAAGCGUUACUCGGAAUCACUGGGCGUAAAGAGCGCGUAGGCGGGAUAGUCAGUCAGGUGUGAAAUCCUAUGGCUUAACCAUAGAACUGCAUUUGAAACUACUAUUCUAGAGUGUGGGAGAGGUAGGUGGAAUUCUUGGUGUAGGGGUAAAAUCCGUAGAGAUCAAGAGGAAUACUCAUUGCGAAGGCGACCUGCUGGAACAUUACUGACGCUGAUUGCGCGAAAGCGUGGGGAGCAAACAGGAUUAGAUACCCUGGUAGUCCACGCCCUAAACGAUGGAUGCUAGUUGUUGGAGGGCUUAGUCUCUCCAGUAAUGCAGCUAACGCAUUAAGCAUCCCGCCUGGGGAGUACGGUCGCAAGAUUAAAACUCAAAGGAAUAGACGGGGACCCGCACAAGCGGUGGAGCAUGUGGUUUAAUUCGAAGAUACACGAAGAACCUUACCUAGGCUUGACAUUGAGAGAAUCCGCUAGAAAUAGUGGAGUGUCUGGCUUGCCAGACCUUGAAAACAGGUGCUGCACGGCUGUCGUCAGCUCGUGUCGUGAGAUGUUGGGUUAAGUCCCGCAACGAGCGCAACCCCCUUUCUUAGUUGCUAACAGGUUAUGCUGAGAACUCUAAGGAUACUGCCUCCGUAAGGAGGAGGAAGGUGGGGACGACGUCAAGUCAUCAUGGCCCUUACGCCUAGGGCUACACACGUGCUACAAUGGGGUGUACAAAGAGAAGCAAUACUGCGAAGUGGAGCCAAUCUUCAAAACACCUCUCAGUUCGGAUUGUAGGCUGCAACUCGCCUGCAUGAAGCUGGAAUCGCUAGUAAUCGCAAAUCAGCCAUGUUGCGGUGAAUACGUUCCCGGGUCUUGUACUCACCGCCCGUCACACCAUGGGAGUUGUGUUUGCCUUAAGUCAGGAUGCUAAAUUGGCUACUGCCCACGGCACACACAGCGACUGGGGUGAAGUCGUAACAAGGUAACCGUAGGUGAACCUGCGGUUGGAUCACCUCCUUUCUAGA
RNAcentral lists this ribosomal RNA (1509 nucleotides) under Helicobacter pylori. RNAcentral describes it as "bacterial SSU rRNA". It matches the Rfam family "Bacterial small subunit ribosomal RNA". Lineage: Bacteria; Pseudomonadati; Campylobacterota; Epsilonproteobacteria; Campylobacterales; Helicobacteraceae. The record is from RNAcentral.